Molecule: transfer RNA, 75 nt
Filed under: Acidimicrobiia bacterium
Lineage: Bacteria; Bacillati; Actinomycetota; Acidimicrobiia
Description: tRNA-Ser
Source: RNAcentral
GGAGGGUUGCCAGAGCGGACGAAUGGGGCGGCCUCGAAAGCCGUUGUGGCCUCCGGGAUCCCACACCCUCCGCCA